GGAGGGAUCAUUAAAGAGUUCUAUAACUCCCAAACCCAUGUGAACAUACCUAACGUUGCCUCGGCAGGUCGCACCUACCUUGUAGCACCCUACCCUGUAGGGCCUACCCGGGAGGUGCGGGUAAGCCUGCCGGCGGCCCACCAAACUCUGUUUGAUAUUGAAUUCUGAACCUAUAACUAAAUAAGUUAAAACUUUCAACAACGGAUCUCUUGGUUCUGGCAUCGAUGAAGAACGCAGCGAAAUGCGAUAAGUAAUGUGAAUUGCAGAAUUCAGUGAAUCAUCGAAUCUUUGAACGCAUAUUGCGCCCAUUAGUAUUCUAGUGGGCAGGACCGUUCGAGCGUCAUUUCAACCCUUAAGCCUUCGUUGCUUAGUGUUGGGAGCCUACGGCAACGUAGCUCCUCAAAGUUAGUGGCGGAGUUGGUUCACACUCUAGACGUAGUAAUUUUUUAUCUCGCCUAUUAGUUGGACUAAUCCCCUGCCGUAAAACCCCUAAUUUAUCAAGGUUGACCUCGAAUCGGUUCAGACAAACUCGCUAAAUUGAAGCAUCUUAGUCAGCGAAGGAAAAGAAACCAACAGGGAUUGCCCUAGUAACGGCGAGUGAAGCGGCAACAGCUCAAAUUUGAAAUCUGGCCCUCGGGUCCGAGU
RNAcentral lists this ribosomal RNA (645 nucleotides) under fungal endophyte. RNAcentral's name for it is "eukaryotic LSU rRNA". The stretch from base 190 to 343 matches the Rfam family "5.8S ribosomal RNA". Lineage: Eukaryota; Fungi. The record is from RNAcentral.